UGUAGGACAGAUCACCAAAAAAUCAUAGUAAGUGCACACUGUAACUCUUUCUCAUUUUUUUCUUCUGCUUCUAGAUCCUCGGUUAUUUUACCUAAGUUAAGUGAUGGAAACUUACACUAAAGAAAAAAAAUCACCCUUGGAUCUUUGGCAUUCAUAUUUGUGUGAAAGAAUCUAGGAUGUUCCGAGAAAACACAUCAGCUGAUUGCUUAAAUAAAAUAACAGCCUCUACUGAAGAUGGUGCUUUCCAAAGAAAAGUCCAUAGUGCAAGAAUCCUUAGCCCAGAAGAAGCUGAGAGACUGUCAAAAGAUCAGGUUUUGGUGUCUGAGUUCAAAAAACUAAAACUGGAGAAAGAGGCACAGAAGAACUGGGAUCUGUUUUACAAAAGAAACAGCACCAACUUCUUCAAAAACAGACAUUGGACAACCAGAGAGUUUCAAGAGUUAAAAGCAUGUCGGGAGUUUGCAGAUCAGAAACUUACCAUUCUGGAAGCAGGCUGUGGGGUUGGGAACUGCUUGUUUCCACUCUUAGAAGAAGAUCUGAAUAUUUUUGCGUAUGCCUGUGAUUUCUCUCCUAGAGCUGUUGAGUAUGUGAAGAAAAAUGCCUUAUACAGUACUGAAAGAUGUAAAGUGUUCCAGUGUGAUCUUACCAAAGAUGAUCUUCUAGAAAAUAUACCAGCAGAUUCUGUGGAUGUUGUGACACUUAUAUUUGUGCUUUCUGCCAUUCAUCCUGAUAAGAUGCAUCUUGUCUUGAAGAACAUUUACAAGGUAUUAAAACCAGGGAAGUGUGUCUUGUUCAGAGACUAUGGACUGUAUGAUCAUGCAAUGCUCAGGUUUAAAUCUGGCAGCAAACUUGGAGAAAACUUCUAUGUUAGACAAGAUGGGACAAGAUCAUAUUUUUUUACUGAAGAGUUCUUGUCUCAGCUUUUCAAGGCUGAGGGAUAUGAGCAAGUGGUCAAUGAAUAUGUGCAUCGAGAAACUGUCAAUAGGAAAGAAGAUUUGCGUGUUCCAAGAGUUUUCCUUCAAAGCAAAUUUCAAAAGCCUUUCAGUAAGACAUAAGUUCUUGCUGAUUAGCAACAGCAUUACAUGUUUGAAAUGGAAGCUAGCAUGUAGUUUUUCCUUGUGUGUGCUCAUAUUUCCAGUAAACCAGAAAUGACUGCAUCCAGUACCUCUUGUUGGUUUUCAUCCUCAGAUACGAAAUAUGAAUGCUCCUUCUAAUUAAAAUUUACGAUGGUUUAGUGAUGCAGGCAACCAGCUGAGUAUCUGUAUUCCUGCCUCUAAAGUAAAUCCUGUGCAGCAUUGUUGAAGAAUCAGGUAAAGCACACUAAAUAUGUUAUUUGAAAG
Molecule: RNA transcript, 1340 nt
Organism: Antrostomus carolinensis (chuck-will's-widow)
Lineage: Eukaryota; Metazoa; Chordata; Aves; Caprimulgiformes; Caprimulgidae
Gene: METTL6
Gene name: methyltransferase 6, tRNA N3-cytidine
Exons: 6
Source: RefSeq, a predicted model, not a curated record